AAUACUUGUCGCUUUGAGUUUUUGUUUCUAAAGUUUGAUCAUUCGUCUUAUUUAAAAUAUUAUGGAAUUAUUAUUUAUUUUUUGUGACUUGCUUUAUUAUCAAAAGUACUUUAAGUAUGACUUAUCAUUUUUUAUAUUUGCACUAAUUUUUAAAAUAAGACGAAUGGUCAAACGUCGCAAAAAAAGUCAAAGCGAUAACUAUU
MicroRNA precursor from Oryza sativa Japonica Group (Japanese rice), 203 nucleotides. It matches the Rfam family "MIR812 microRNA precursor family". Lineage: Eukaryota; Viridiplantae; Streptophyta; Magnoliopsida; Poales; Poaceae. The record is from Rfam.